CAGCCUGAAAUGAUGACUUUAAUUUCAUGUCUCUUCUCUGACAUUUUUCUCUGGAGAUGAUUUUGCCUUACUGAUCUGAUCAGGCUG
RNAcentral lists this small nucleolar RNA (87 nucleotides) under Microtus ochrogaster (prairie vole). Its description in RNAcentral is "Small nucleolar RNA SNORD111 (ENSMOCG00000004380.1)". It matches the Rfam family "Small nucleolar RNA SNORD111". From Rfam's summary of the family: The members of this family belong to the C/D class of snoRNAs which contain the C (UGAUGA) and D (CUGA) box motifs. Most of the members of the box C/D family function in directing site-specific 2'-O-methylation of substrate RNAs. Lineage: Eukaryota; Metazoa; Chordata; Mammalia; Rodentia; Cricetidae. The record is from Rfam by way of RNAcentral.